RNAcentral lists this ribosomal RNA (432 nucleotides) under uncultured bacterium. RNAcentral describes it as "partial 16S ribosomal RNA". It matches the Rfam family "Bacterial small subunit ribosomal RNA", at positions 29 to 507 of the family's 1533-position model. The record is from RNAcentral.
ACGAACGCUGGCGGCAUGCCUAACACAUGCAAGUCGAACGAGACCUUCGGGUCUAGUGGCGCACGGGUGCGUAACGUGUGGGAACCUGCCCUUAGGUUCGGAAUAACUCCCCGAAAGGGGUGCUAAUACCGGAUAAUGUCUUCGGACCAAAGAUUUAUCGCCUUUGGAUGGGCCCGCGUUGGAUUAGCUAGUUGGUAGGGUAAAAGCCUACCAAGGCGACGAUCCAUAGCUGGUCUGAGAGGAUGAUCAGCCACACUGGGACUGAGACACGGCCCAGACUCCUACGGGAGGCAGCAGUGGGGAAUAUUGGACAAUGGGCGAAAGCCUGAUCCAGCAAUGCCGCGUGAGUGAUGAAGGCCUUAGGGUUGUAAAGCUCUUUUACCCGGGAUGAUAAUGACAGUACCGGGAGAAUAAGCGCCGGCUAACUCCGUG